CCUGUUCAUCGGUUACGGGGUCGCCGCGCUCAUGCUGUGGCGGGUGCAGCGCUGGCCGUUCCUGGUGGCCGUACUGGC
This 78-nucleotide transfer RNA is filed under the name Arthrobacter sp. NicSoilC5. Its description in RNAcentral is "tRNA-Met". The record is from RNAcentral. Lineage: Bacteria; Bacillati; Actinomycetota; Actinomycetes; Micrococcales; Micrococcaceae.